Molecule: unclassified non-coding RNA, 355 nt
Filed under: soil metagenome
Description: partial contains 5.8S ribosomal RNA, internal transcribed spacer 2, and large subunit ribosomal RNA
Rfam family: 5.8S ribosomal RNA (bases 1-120)
Source: RNAcentral
GAUGAAGAACGCAGCGAAAUGCGAUAAGUAGUGUGAAUUGCAGAAGUCAGUGAAUCAUCGAAUCUUUGAACGCACAUUGCGCCUGCUAGUAUUCUGGGAGGCAUGCCUGUUUGAGCGUCAUUAAACCUCUCUCAAGUAUGAUUACUUGGAUGUGAAGGAAGAGUACCUUAAACUUAAGGAGUGUUCUCCUUUGAAAUUGAUUAGCAGAUGGUAAUGUUAUUAAAUCCCUGAUGUUGUAAGAAAUAACAGUGGUUUUGUAGACUAUUAUCUAGCUUUAAAUUAUAAUUUUUAUUAUGGUUGACCUCAAAUCAGGUAAGGAUACCCGCUGAACUUAAGCAUAUCAAUAAGCGGAGGA